This 372-nucleotide ribosomal RNA is filed under the name uncultured organism. RNAcentral describes it as "partial 16S ribosomal RNA". It matches the Rfam family "Bacterial small subunit ribosomal RNA", at positions 527 to 896 of the family's 1533-position model. The record is from RNAcentral.
GUAGGUGGCGAGCGUUGUCCGGAAUUAUUGGGCGUAAAGCGCGCGCAGGCGGUUCUUUAAGUCUGAUGUGAAAGCCCACGGCUCAACCGUGGAGGGUCAUUGGAAACUGGCGAACUUGAGUACAGAAGAGGAAAGCGGAAUUCCACGUGUAGCGGUGGAAUGCGUAGAGAUGUGGAGGAACACCAGUGGCGAAGGCGGCUUUCUGGUCUGUAACUGACGCUGAGGCGCGAAAGCGUGGGGAGCAAACAGGAUUAGAUACCCUGGUAGUCCACGCCGUAAACGAUGAGUGCUAAGUGUUAGGGGGUUUCCGCCCCCCUUAGUGCUGCAGCUAACGCAUUAAGCACUCCGCCUGGGAGUACGGCCGCAAGGCUG